CUAACUGGAGGACCGAACCGACUAAUGUUGAAAAAUUAGCGGAUGACUUGUGGCUGGGGGUGAAAGGCCAAUCAAACCGGGAGAUAGCUGGUUCUCCCCGAAAGCUAUUUAGGUAGCGCCUCGUGAACUCAUCUUCGGGGGUAGAGCACUGUUUCGGCUAGGGGGUCAUCCCGACUUACCAACCCGAUGCAAACUACGAAUACCGAAGAAUGUUAUCACGGGAGACACACGGCGGGUGCUAACGUCCGUCGUGAAGAGGGAAACAACCCAGACCGCCAGCUAAGGUCCCAAAGUCAUGGUUAAGUGGGAAACGAUGUGGGAAGGCACAGACAGCCAGGAUGUUGGCUUAGAAGCAGCCAUCAUUUAAAGAAAGCGUAAUAGCUCACUGGUCGAGUCGGCCUGCGCGGAAGAUGUAACGGGGCUAAACCAUGCACCGAAGCUGCGGCAGCGACACUAUGUGUUGUUGGGUAGGGGAGCGUUCUGUAAGCCUGCGAAGGUGACCUGUGAGGGUUGCUGGAGGUAUCAGAAGUGCGAAUGCUGACAUAAGUAACGAUAAAGCGGGUGAAAAGCCCGCUCGCCGGAAGACCAAGGGUUCCUGUCCAACGUUAAUCGGGGCAGGGUGAGUCGACCCCUAAGGCGAGGCCGAAAGGCGUAGUCGAUGGGAAACAGGUUAAUAUUCCUGUACUUGGUGUUACUGCGAAGGGGGGACGGAGAAGGCUAUGUUAGCCGGGCGACGGUUGUCCCGGUUUAAGCAUGUAGGCUGGUUAUCCAGGCAAAUCCGGAUAAUCAAGGCUGAGGUGUGAUGACGAGGCACUACGGUGCUGAAGUAACAAAUGCCCUGCUUCCAGGAAAAGCCUCUAAGCAUCAGGUAACAUCAAAUCGUACCCCAAACCG
Molecule: ribosomal RNA, 894 nt
Filed under: Klebsiella pneumoniae
Lineage: Bacteria; Pseudomonadati; Pseudomonadota; Gammaproteobacteria; Enterobacterales; Enterobacteriaceae
Description: partial 23S ribosomal RNA
Rfam family: Bacterial large subunit ribosomal RNA
Source: RNAcentral